Molecule: ribosomal RNA, 468 nt
Filed under: uncultured bacterium
Lineage: Bacteria
Description: partial 16S ribosomal RNA
Rfam family: Bacterial small subunit ribosomal RNA
Source: RNAcentral
GACGAACGCUGGCGGCGUGCUUAACACAUGCAAGUCGAACGGAAAGGCCCUGCUUUGUGGGGGUGCUCGAGUGGCGAACGGGUGAGUAACACGUGAGUAACCUGCCCUUGACUGUGGGAUAACUUCAUGAAACUGGGGCUAAUACCGGAUAGGAGCUCCUGCUGCAUGGUGGGGGUUGGAAAGUUUCGGCGGUUGGUGAUGGACUCGCGGCUUAUCAGCUUGUUGGUGGGGUAGUGGCUUACCAAGGCUUUGACGGGUAGCCGGCCUGAGAGGGUGACCGGCCACAUUGGGACUGAGAUACGGCCCAGCCUCCUACGGGAGGCAGCAGUGGGGAAUAUUGCACAAUGGGCGGAAGCAUGAUGUAGUACCGCAGCGUGCGGGAUGACGGCCUUCGGGUUGUAAACCGCUUUCGCCUGUGACGAAGCGUAAGUGACGGUAAUGGGUAAAGAAGCACCGGCUAACUACGUG